GCCCCCCACACUGGCACUGAGACACGGGCCAGACUCCUACGGGAGGCAGCAGUGAGGAAUAUUGCACAAUGGGCGCAAGCCUGAUGCAGCAACGCCGCGUGAGGGACGAAGGCCUUCGGGUUGUAAACCUCUUUUCUGAGGGACGAGGAAGGACGGUACCUCAGGAAUAAGUCUCGGCUAACUACGUGCCAGCAGCCGCGGUAAAACGUAGGAGGCGAGCGUUAUCCGGAUUUACUGGGCGUAAAGCGCGCGCAGGUGGCUUCGUGAGUCGGACAUGAAAGCUCCUGGCUUAACUGGGAGAGGCUGUUCGAUACUGCGGGGCUUGAGGUUGGGAGAGGGACGCGGAAUUCCCGGUGUAGUGGUGGAAUGCGUAGAUAUCGGGAGGAACACCAGUGGCGCAAGCGGCGUCCUGGCCCACACCUGACGCUGAGGUGCGAAAGCGUGGGUAGCAAACAGGAUUAGAUACCCUGGUAGUCCACGCUGUAAACGAUGUCAACUGGGUGUCGGUAGUUUUACACUAUCGGUGCCGAAGCUAACGCG
This 540-nucleotide ribosomal RNA is filed under the name uncultured bacterium. Its description in RNAcentral is "bacterial SSU rRNA". It matches the Rfam family "Bacterial small subunit ribosomal RNA", at positions 303 to 859 of the family's 1533-position model. The record is from RNAcentral.